Long non-coding RNA from Talpa occidentalis (Iberian mole), 317 nucleotides. RefSeq lists it as uncharacterized. NCBI's taxonomy places the organism in Eukaryota, Metazoa, Chordata, Mammalia, Eulipotyphla, Talpidae. The record is from RefSeq and is a predicted model, not a curated record. The transcript is spliced from 3 exons.
CAUAACUUAACUCAGCUGGUGUUUUGAGCAAUAUUGCUCUCCUUAGAGUACCAAACCCCACUUUGCCAACUUUAUCCAGAGAUCCGGAAGCACCUGGGAACUACAUAUCUUUUUCUGACUCCUCAAGUCAGAAAAACCCUGAGAUAUAAUUUACAUUCCAGAAAAUACUUGAAGAUCAGGGUCUGCUGCAGGAGAUCUCAAUUCAUGAGCACAGACUGGAAACUUGGAAAUGAGUCACCCUGACUAAAAGAAGAAAGGCAUUUUGGUGGAGGCUAGAGGAGGAGAAGAGGCUAACGCCUCAACUAGAUAAAGGAAAA